This 423-nucleotide ribosomal RNA is filed under the name uncultured bacterium. Its description in RNAcentral is "partial 16S ribosomal RNA". It matches the Rfam family "Bacterial small subunit ribosomal RNA", at positions 360 to 775 of the family's 1533-position model. The record is from RNAcentral.
AAUUUUGGACAAUGGGGGAAACCCUGAUCCAGCCAUCCCGUUAGUAUGAUGAUUGACUUAGGGAUGUCAAUUACUUUUGGCAGAGAAAAAAAGGUACCUCCUAAUACGAGGUACUGCUGACGAUAUCUCCAGAAUAAGCACCGGCUAACUACGUGCCAGCAGCCGCGGUAAUACGUAGGGUGCAAGCGUUAAUCGGAAUUACUGGGCGUAAAGCGUGUGUAGGCGGUUCGGAAAGAAAGAUGUGAAAUCCCAGGGCUCAACCUUGGAACUGCAUUUUUAACUGCCGAGCUAGAGUAUGUCAGAGGGGGGUAGAAUUCCACGUGUAGCAGUGAAAUGCGUAGAUAUGUGGAGGAAUACCGAUGGCGAAGGCAGCCCCCUGGGAUAAUACUGACGCUCAGACACGAAAGCGUGGGGAGCAAACAG